Molecule: long non-coding RNA, 2066 nt
Organism: Eucalyptus grandis
Lineage: Eukaryota; Viridiplantae; Streptophyta; Magnoliopsida; Myrtales; Myrtaceae
Exons: 2
Source: RefSeq, a predicted model, not a curated record
AAAUGCCGUAUGUAGGAUCUGGCGGCCGAGCGAAACUAUGGCCUCGCUUCGUUGACCUUAUCAUCCCUAUAAAUAGGUCCAAUCCCUUCUUAAUUUCGCAUCAUCCGAUCGAUCUUCCAAUCCAUUACUUCAAAUUUACAGCAACUUGAAAUUCAAAGCGAGCGUCUACCAGAGCAGGAAAAUGUCUCAUCAUGGACAUCAUCAGCAGCAGUAUCACUACAUGUACCAUGGUGAGGGACAUCAUGGCCAUGAAGUACAUAUGGGUCUCGGCCAUGGCCAUCACGGGGGAGGAAAUUAUGGCGGGUUUGGUCCGGGAGGACAUCAUGGGCAUGGGUUCCUGGGACAUGGCCAUCAUGGGGUCAUCCAUGGGCACGGGCAAGGGCAUGGGCUUGGGCACAGGCUUGGGCACGCCAUAAAUGGGCUUCUAGGGAAUUUGCAUCCUCAUCACCAUCAUGCCCAUCAUCAUGGGCAUGGUCUUUUUGGACACAUGAACGGAGGUCAUGCUGUUCCAGUUCAUGGAUGGGGACAUAAUCCACAUGGCCUUGGAGGAGGACAUCAUCAUCAUCACCAUGGUUGAUGUCGCUGACUUGUUUGAUUGGUGUUUCGACUUGUUGAUAUCAUGCCGGUCUGUCGCCCGGUCAACUCGGAUUGAAUCUUGGGGCUUUGUUAUUGUGACGUUGGCUUUUUCUUUUUUGGAAUAUUACUGUCCUCAACCGAGGGAAUUGGAUCAAUUUGUGGUUGAGGACAGUGCCAUAAAGCAUGUCAAUCUAGUUGUGGGUAUUUAACCCACUCUCACUCACUUCAGACGUGGUGUUUACCUUGGUAUACCAAUUCAAUGAUGAAGGCUUUAGACAUGUAAAUUCGAUGGAAGACAUCAUCACGGUAGACAUAGUCAUCAUGGGAUUGGUAAGGGGGGCGGACACGGGCAUCAUGGGGGGCACGGUCCCCACGGAGGAGGACUCCUCUUUGGGCAUGGUCUCGGAGGACAUGGGUGUCAUGGACAUGAACAGGGGCUUCACCUGAGCGGUGUUUUGGGGCAUGGGGGUCGUGGACAUGGACAUGGGCAUCACGUGAGGGUUCUUUUAGUCCACGGACAUGGACUUUUCAAACACGGUCAUCAUGGUCAUUGCAAAGGUCACGGUCAUGGUCACAAAGGGCGCCAUGCGCAUGGCCGCUGCGGGGGGCAUCAUAUCUGUAUGGAGCAACCGGAACAGGAACAAGAACAGCAACAGGAACAGGAAGUCGCAGCUGCGACGCCGACUCCGAUAACCGAGCAGCUCGGUACUCUCGCUCUGACUGCUGAUUAGGGAGGAGGCCACUUGGAGCUGGGUCUUAAACAUCAGCGACGCCCGGGUUAGCGAUAAAUAUGUUUUGGAGAUUCCGUGUCUUGGCUCCUACCAAUAAUCAGUACCAGUUUUAUCUUUUUGGGUUGUUUCGUGGAUGAUCAGAUUCAACGGUUUGAAGUGUUGUGGAGGUUGAUGGCUGUUGUGGAGGUCAAUGGAAGUUUCUCUAUACAGCUUGUGUACCAAUAUUAUGCGAUGGUACACUAAAAAUUAGCGUGAUGGUAUCGGUCAUUUGAGGUUUCGGAUCAAAUGGUUCCAUAUAUUUUAUGCAGAAGAUAUGAAGGUUCUGAAUUAUGUUCUGAAUUAGAAAUGAUGUGUUGCUGAGCUCUUCGAGGGCAUCAUUGGCAUGCAUGAGCAAAUUGACCAGAAUUAAUUGAUAGGUAAGGUUUCUGACAGCAAACAGCGCGGACAAUGGCAUAUGCUUUCCAUCUUGUCAUUCAAGUAACUCCGGCAAAAUGUUGGAUUAUAAUGUCUCAGUGCUGCUGGUUUUUCGACUGAUGUUCCUCUGUUCUGUUUUUCUUAUUAUGGUUUAUUUUUCUUGCUAAGUUGGUUAUAUUAUGCAGCUGGUAUUUUUGUUAUUUAGGAAGUGAAUUAGCACGUUUAGGUGCAGUUAUAUGCUGCACGUGUGUGUGGUUUGUAAGCAGUUAUUGUUCUUGUUUAAGUUGCCUUGUACUUGACAGUUUUCUUAGAUAGAACUGAUGUAUGCAAGUUCGUGUUUUGUUU